GUGUACUGGCGGGACCGGUUCGCGUGCCCGACCAGCAAGCCGUGCUGAGUCGACCGGCCGGCUUGGGAGGCGUCGGUUCGACUUGUCCAGUUACUUCCCGCUUUGCGCGGGAUGGUGAUCGUUAAUAAGUGCGAAGGCAGCGCGCGAACAAGAUUUCCCCUGAUCUCGCGCCUCUGCCGAAGCAGAUCCCGCAGCCUCAAGGCCCCGGGAGCAUCCGAGCGCGUGCUCGGACCGAAGAUUCCGGUUUACUCGGCUCUUCGCCUGUCCCGCUAUGUGGACACCGCGCGCACCAGCCGCGCGGCAUAACAGUUCAUGGUCAUCCGGACGCCCACCCGCGAAGGGCGGCACGUGCGCAGCUACCCAACGGCGGCUAUCCCACGAGUGACAGACGGACUCCAUGUGUUGCGGUCGACCUCUGGGGUCGACACCCGCCGGAGCGACCGGCGAUGCGCGACGCUCAUGGCGUCGCUCUCAGACGCCCGCUGACGAGAGCGGGUGAUGAUUCAGGGGCCUGCGGUCCCGGCCACUUGGGCAAGUGCCGGAAAAGGGGGACGACGUGACUCAUCCGCACGCAGGACAACUCAGUGGUAACGAACUCUAAGGCGCUUCUCGCCGCGCAGCGGGUGAUGGGCGCUCGCCCGUAACGGAACCACCGUUGACUCGGUCCAAAUCAUCGAACUGAUCGCCGACAGAAGUCAAGCGAAUCUUCCGUUCAAGUGAUGAAUGAGUUGUGGACAACCCCGCGCCCCUUGAUCCGUCUUGCGGAACUAGUACCUCAGGUUCGGAAACGCGCGAGACGAACAACGUUAGUGGCCUCAUGAAGCCGCGUUAGCUCCCCCAAGAAUUGGAAAGGAUCGCUUAGUGGCUCUCGGUGGCACGUGGGAGCCACUUCACCGGCAAAACGGCCCAAUAUCCGCUCCAUUCCGGGUUGUGGCGGCCUGUCGUGCCGCGCUAGCCUUGGCGCAACCUUGGAGGCAACCUCAUAGAACGAGCGGCGCUCUGUUCGAUCGAUCUGGCAUACGACUUCA
Molecule: unclassified non-coding RNA, 1028 nt
Filed under: uncultured fungus
Lineage: Eukaryota; Fungi
Description: sequence contains 18S rRNA gene, ITS1, 5.8S rRNA gene, ITS2, 28S rRNA gene
Source: RNAcentral